GCCUUCGUAGCUCAGUGGAUAGAGCACCGGCCUCCGAAGCCGGUGGCGCAGGUUCGAGUCCUGCCGAGGGCACCA
Molecule: transfer RNA, 75 nt
Filed under: Chloroflexota bacterium
Lineage: Bacteria; Bacillati; Chloroflexota
Description: Chloroflexi bacterium tRNA-Arg
Rfam family: tRNA
About the family: Transfer RNA (tRNA) molecules are approximately 80 nucleotides in length. Their secondary structure includes four short double-helical elements and three loops (D, anti-codon, and T loops).
Source: RNAcentral